Vicia faba (fava bean) is the source of this 189-nucleotide non-coding RNA. The record is from the annotation of a GenBank genome assembly. NCBI's taxonomy places the organism in Eukaryota, Viridiplantae, Streptophyta, Magnoliopsida, Fabales, Fabaceae.
AUGGAUAGUCUAACAGACUUUCUUUCAUUUUUCUACUUUAUUACAACCAUUCCUUUCUUUGGUCAUUGCAACGUAACACAACCAUCCUUCUGCUUUUUACUCUUCAUCUUCUCAUUCUCUCUCUCCCAAACCUUCAUUAUUCUGAAUUUUUUCCAAUACUAUUCUAUCAUCAGGAUAUUCUUCAUGUGA